This 32-nucleotide non-coding RNA is filed under the name Mus musculus (house mouse). The record is from RNAcentral. Lineage: Eukaryota; Metazoa; Chordata; Mammalia; Rodentia; Muridae.
UCACUCAGGUAAUUCGGCAAUGAAUCUGGUUU